Molecule: ribosomal RNA, 265 nt
Filed under: uncultured Pantoea sp.
Lineage: Bacteria; Pseudomonadati; Pseudomonadota; Gammaproteobacteria; Enterobacterales; Erwiniaceae
Description: partial 16S ribosomal RNA
Rfam family: Bacterial small subunit ribosomal RNA
Source: RNAcentral
CACAGAAGCCUGGUUCUCGGGUGACGAGUGGCGGACGGGUGAGUAAUGUCUGGGGAUCUGCCCGAUAGAGGGGGAUAACCACUGGAAACGGUGGCUAAUACCGCAUAACGUCGCAAGACCAAAGAGGGGGACCUUCGGGCCUCUCACUAUCGGAUGAACCCAGAUGGGAUUAGCUAGUAGGCGGGGUAAUGGCCCACCUAGGCGACGAUCCCUAGCUGGUCUGAGAGGAUGACCAGCCACACUGGAACUGAGACACGGUCCACGA